UGGGGAAUAUUGCACAAUGGGCGCAAGCCUGAUGCAGCGACGCCGCGUGCGGGAUGGAGGCCUUCGGGUUGUAAACCGCUUUUGUUCAAGGGCAAGGCACGGCUUCGGGCCGUGUUGAGUGGAUUGUUCGAAUAAGCACCGGCUAACUACGUGCCAGCAGCCGCGGUAAUACGUAGGGUGCGAGCGUUAUCCGGAUUUAUUGGGCGUAAAGGGCUCGUAGGCGGUUCGUCGCGUCCGGUGUGAAAGUCCAUCGCCUAACGGUGGAUCUGCGCCGGGUACGGGCGGGCUGGAGUGCGGUAGGGGAGACUGGAAUUCCCGGUGUAACGGUGGAAUGUGUAGAUAUCGGGAAGAACACCAAUGGCGAAGGCAGGUCUCUGGGCCGUUACUGACGCUGAGGAGCGAAAGCGUGGGGAGCGAACAGGAUUAGAUACCC
RNAcentral lists this ribosomal RNA (433 nucleotides) under uncultured bacterium. RNAcentral describes it as "bacterial SSU rRNA". It matches the Rfam family "Bacterial small subunit ribosomal RNA", at positions 355 to 787 of the family's 1533-position model. The record is from RNAcentral.